This 437-nucleotide ribosomal RNA is filed under the name uncultured bacterium. Its description in RNAcentral is "bacterial SSU rRNA". It matches the Rfam family "Bacterial small subunit ribosomal RNA", at positions 354 to 796 of the family's 1533-position model. The record is from RNAcentral.
GUGGGGAAUUUUGGACAAUGGACGAAAGUCUGAUCCAGCGACGCCGCGUGGAGGACGAAGGUUUUCGGAUUGUAAACUCCUUUUACAGGGGACGAAAGCCCGCAAGGGUUUGACAGUACUCUGUGAAUAAGCCACGGCUAACUACGUGCCAGCAGCCGCGGUAAUACGUAGGUGGCGAGCGUUACUCGGAAUUACUAGGCGUAAAGCGCGUGUAGGCGGGGGCUUAAGUCAGUCGUGAAAGCUCAGGGCUCAACCCUGAAAUGUCGACUGAAACUGGGCUUCUUGAGUGCGGUAGAGGAGAUUGGAAUUCCAGGUGUAGCGGUGAAAUGCGUAGAUAUCUGGAAGAACGCCAAAGGCGAAGGCAGAUCUCUGGGCCGUUACUGACGCUGAGACGCGAAAGCUAGGGGAGCAAACAGGAUUAGAAACCCCUGUAGUCC